GCAAUUUAUAUUCGAUUACAACAACAUUCUCAGGAAUCAUAAAUACUACAGUUAUUAUGUCUGUACCAAAAUGCACAACUCUAUCUUCAAAAUUACGCUUAAUUUAAUUUUAAUCAAUCUCGGUGGAGAGAUACCCGCAACUUGAUCGCAUUAGAAUACAUAUGGCACUUUAACAAUCCAUCAGUUAACAACAAAUCUAUCAUUGUUGUUUCAUACCCUGGACUCUGGGACUUGAGAUCUUCGAAAUAAGAGACGCAACUGGAACCAAAGAAUCAAUCUGUGUGAGAUGCGUACAGAAACUACAAUGUCGACUUCGCCGCUGAAGACGAGAAGAUGGAGAUGAAGUCGAUGGCUAUGACGAUGUCGAUGUCGAUGUCGAUGAUGACGGCAACAAGGCAGGCAAGGCAACGCAGUGCAGAGCGACUGCGACUGAUUUGUUUAUUUAUAUAAUUUCAGUCAAGCUCAAUUAGAAACGCAUACACACCACAAUCUCAAUCUCAAUCACAAUCACAUGCAUGCGCGUACGCAUACAACUGAUUUUGGUGUAAAUAUCUUUUUUGUUGUGGCUUUUGGUCUCGUGGCGUUGUUUGGCUUUGGCGCUUUUCACUUUAUUGAUUUAAAAAAAUGAAAAAUUUAUGUCUAAACAAAAUUGCGCCAUGCAGCCAAAAGCCAUUGCCAGUCCCUCUAGGAGCAUAUACAUACAAUACAUACAUACUCGUAUGGAUUGGGAGUGGGAUGCAGACCCUUAGCUGGCGCUGUGGUCAUUGGCGCCACCACUUAAAAACAACAUGAGCAAGAGGCAUGCAACAUGAAGCAAGAAGCAAGACGCUUGGCGGACUUUUCGAAUGUAAAUAAAUAAACAACGAGGCAUGGUGAACAAAUUGGGCCAACAAUUUCUAGCU
Drosophila nasuta is the source of this 902-nucleotide long non-coding RNA. RefSeq lists it as uncharacterized. The transcript is spliced from 3 exons. The record is from RefSeq and is a predicted model, not a curated record. Lineage: Eukaryota; Metazoa; Arthropoda; Insecta; Diptera; Drosophilidae.